Molecule: ribosomal RNA, 492 nt
Filed under: uncultured bacterium
Lineage: Bacteria
Description: partial 16S ribosomal RNA
Rfam family: Bacterial small subunit ribosomal RNA
Source: RNAcentral
AGUGAACGCUGGCGGUAGGCCUAACGCAUGCAAGUCGAACGGCAGCACAGUAAGAGCUUGCUCUUACGGGUGGCGAGUGGCGGACGGGUGAGGAAUACAUCGGAAUCUACUUUUUCGUGGGGGAUAACGUAGGGAAACUUACGCUAAUACCGCAUACGACCUACGGGUGAAAGCAGGGGAUCUUCGGACCUUGCGCGAUUGAAUGAGCCGAUGCCGGAUUAGCUAGUUGGCGGGGUAAAGGCCCACCAAGGCGACGAUCCGUAGCUGGUCUGAGAGGAUGAUCAGCCACACUGGAACUGAGACACGGUCCAGACUCCUACGGGAGGCAGCAGUGGGGAAUAUUGGACAAUGGGCGCAAGCCUGAUCCAGCCAUACCGCGUGGGUGAAGAAGGCCUUCGGGUUGUAAAGCCCUUUUGUUGGGAAAGAAAAGCAGCAGGUUAAUACCCCGCUGUUCUGACGGUACCCAAAGAAUAAGCACCGGCUAACUUCGUG